RNAcentral lists this ribosomal RNA (253 nucleotides) under uncultured bacterium. Its description in RNAcentral is "partial 16S ribosomal RNA". It matches the Rfam family "Bacterial small subunit ribosomal RNA", at positions 524 to 776 of the family's 1533-position model. The record is from RNAcentral.
UACAGAGGUGGCAAGCGUUGUUCGGAAUUAUUGGGCGUAAAGAGCUCGUAGGCGGUUUGUUGCGUCGGCUGUGAAAUCCCGAGGCUCAACCUCGGGUCUGCAGUCGAUACGAGCAAACUAGAGUGUUGCAGGGGAGACUGGAAUUCCUGGUGUAGCGGUGAAAUGCGCAGAUAUCAGGAGGAACACCGGUGGCGAAGGCGGGUCUCUGGGCAACAACUGACGCUGAGGAGCGAAAGCGUGGGGAGCGAACAGG